CUCCACCGACCUCGUAGCACCUUCUCGAAAGCACCCUCUCCUCUCUGUCUAUGGCGUCUCUUUAAUCUGCUUUAUAAUAUAGAACACAAGAAACCAGACCCCCAAAGCCGAGCAGUUCAACAUCAAUUGCGUUCCAUCUGUGGAACUAUAUCUGUUUCGUUGCUUCUUUCAGGCAUUUUCACAAAUGGAAGAAGAUGGUGCUGUGACUGUCUACAAUAGCAGCGUCAUUACCGAUGCCAAGAAGAACCCAUAUUCCAUCAAGGUAGGUUUAGCUCAGAUGCUUAGCGGCGGGGCAAUUGUCGAAGUCACUAAUCUACAAGCAGCCAAGAUAGCAGAAGACGCUGGUGCUUGUGCUAUUGUGGUAGCGGAACCAACGCGUCGAGGAAUUAGGCGAAUGCCUGACCCAUCUCUUAUCAAGGAGAUAAAACGUGCAGUUUCCAUCCCUGUAAUGGCUCCAGCGCGUGUUGGCCAUUUUGUUGAGGCUCAGAUAUUGGAAGCUGUUGGGGUUGAUUAUAUCGAUGAGAGUGAGAUUCUUGCUAUAGCGGAUGAAGACAACUUCAUUAACAAGCAUAACUUCAGGUGUCCAUUCAUUUGCGGGUGUCAAAAUCUGGGGGAAGCGUUGAGGAGAGUGAGGGAAGGUGGAGCGAUGAUAAGGAUUCAAGGGGAGGUAUUAGGCCAUGGAAACAUUGCUGAGACAGUGAGGAAUGUGAGAAAUGUGAUGAAAGAGAUAAGGGUUUUGAACAACAUGGAUGAAGAUGAGGUGUUUGCAUUUGCUAAAAAUAUAGCUGCACCUUAUGAUCUUGUGGCACAGACUAAGCAAAUGGGAAGGCUGCCUGUGGUGCAGUUUGCUGCUGGAGGGAUUGUGACCCCUGCAGAUGCAGCACUAAUGAUGCAAUUGGGUUGUGAUGGAAUUUUUGUGGGGAAUGAAGUUUUUGAUUGUGCUGAUCCAUAUAAGCGAGUGAGGGCCAUAGUGCAGGCUGUUAGGCAUUAUAAUGAUCCUCAUGUGCUGGUCGAGAGUAGUUGCGAAUUGGACGAAGCAAUGGCAGAACUUAAUCUCAGUGAAAACAGGAUCCAACAUUUUGGUGGGAACUAGGGAAGUAAUUCUAAUUUCUAAAUACAAGUAAUGUAUCUUUCUUAUAUGCAGUUGUGGAUUAUAGAGUUUUGGUCUUUCUUGUUGCUGUGUUAAUUUUACUACUAAUAUGCAAGUAUGUUCUAUGUUGCAUUUUAUUGUCUGGAAAAACAGAUAAGAAUAGAAUAAAUUAUUUUUUCAAAUUAAUGUUGAACCUUGUGUUUUAAUAGGUAUGGGAGAUUGCAUCCACAAAGGAUCCUAAUGAUACAUUUACAUGAUAUUUUGUAGCAUGCUUGUCACACAGAAUGAAAGGCUCUGUGGCAGGGCUAACUAGUUAUUGACUGAUUGCCAUGAGAUUUGUUUUUUGAUGUCCCUGAACAGACUCGUUCAGUGGAGUGAAAUUGAUGAUGGAAAAAAAUUUACUUGAUGUGAUUGCUUCAAUGUUCGUUGAUUGCAUUUCAAGUGGCGUCUAUUUCAGCAAUUCCAUAAGGAUAAAAAAUGUUCUGAGUUUGUACUUGUUGCCUGUUAUGUUCCCAAUAAUGAAAUACUCUAGCAAUUUCAAUAACAUCUCAUUUUAGUGGACAAGAAUUCCUGAAAAGUUUCAUCCCCUAGAAAACUACUUUGUUUUGUUUUGUGCAAACACAAAAAGAGAUAUAUGUUUCUUAUCUUUAAAUGAAAAUAACUUUCUAUGUCUGUCCUCCUGAACUUCUGAAAUUCAUCAAAGAAUAGCUUCUUGUCUCCUUCCUUUUCUUCUACCCUAAAUCUAUCCGAUAGAGUACAUCUUUUUACAUUUUGAUUUGUCAUAGAUUGAAUCCACCUUGGACCUCAUCUAAUGUUUGUUAAGUCCAUCAAGCAACACCUAUUUGAUUCUUAUAUCCAUUCUUUUCCCCGAGAUUACAUAUUCUUGAUCUCAGUGACUCAAAACCAACAAAGUUGAACAUACCAAACUUUUUUCUUUCCUAUCUUCUCCACUUGCCUUUCUUGUGCUUCUUGUAGUUCACAGAACUACAUCUGUAACACCCCUCACCCGUCUACA
This 2105-nucleotide unclassified non-coding RNA is filed under the name Hevea brasiliensis (rubber tree). Lineage: Eukaryota; Viridiplantae; Streptophyta; Magnoliopsida; Malpighiales; Euphorbiaceae. The record is from RNAcentral.